This 465-nucleotide ribosomal RNA is filed under the name Vreelandella stevensii. RNAcentral describes it as "partial 16S ribosomal RNA". It matches the Rfam family "Bacterial small subunit ribosomal RNA", at positions 338 to 795 of the family's 1533-position model. The record is from RNAcentral. Lineage: Bacteria; Pseudomonadati; Pseudomonadota; Gammaproteobacteria; Oceanospirillales; Halomonadaceae.
CCUACGGGGGGCUGCAGUGGGGAAUAUUGGACAAUGGGGGCAACCCUGAUCCAGCCAUGCCGCGUGUGUGAAGAAGGCCCUCGGGGUGUAAAGCACUUUCAGUGAGGAAGAACGCCUGGUGGUUAAUACCCAUCAGGAAAGACAUCACUCACAGAAGAAGCACCGGCUAACUCCGUGCCAGCAGCCGCGGUAAUACGGAGGGGGCGAGCGUUAAUCGGAAUUACUGGGCGUAAAGCGCGCGUAGGUGGCUUGAUAAGCCGGUUGUGAAAGCCCCGGGCUCAACCUGGGAACGGCAUCCGGAACUGUCAAGCUAGAGUGCAGGAGAGGAAGGUAGAAUUCCCGGUGUAGCGGUGAAAUGCGUAGAGAUCGGGAGGAAUACCAGUGGCGAAGGCGGCCUUCUGGACUGACACUGACACUGAGGUGCGAAAGCGUGGGUAGCAAACAGGAUUAGAUACCCCAGUAGUC